AUCUAUGGUCAUGCCACCUUGAACAAGCCUGAUGUCUGAUCUCGGAAGCUUAGCAGGGUCGGGCCUGGUUAGUACUUAAAUGGGAGACCACCUAAGAAGACCAGGGGCUGUAGGCA
RNAcentral lists this ribosomal RNA (116 nucleotides) under Pteropus alecto (black flying fox). The record is from RNAcentral. Lineage: Eukaryota; Metazoa; Chordata; Mammalia; Chiroptera; Pteropodidae.